CUCGUGUCGUGAGAUGUUCGGUUAAGUCCGCUAACGAGCGCAACCCUCGUCGUAUGUUAUAUGUGUCAUACGAGACUGCCGGUAAAAGACCGGAGGAAGGUGAGGAUGAUGUCAAGUCAGCAUGACCUUUAUAUCCAGGCUACACACACGCUACAAUGGUCUGUACAAUGGGUAGCCAAGCCGCGAGGCGGAGCCAAUCCUGAAAGCAGGCCUCAGUUCAGAUUGCAGUCUGCAACUCGACUGCAUGAAGCCGGAGUUGCUAGUAACCGCAGGUCAGCAAUACUGCGGUGAAUACGUUCUCGGGUCUU
This 308-nucleotide ribosomal RNA is filed under the name uncultured Anaerolineaceae bacterium. RNAcentral describes it as "bacterial SSU rRNA". It matches the Rfam family "Bacterial small subunit ribosomal RNA", at positions 1059 to 1382 of the family's 1533-position model. The record is from RNAcentral. Lineage: Bacteria; Bacillati; Chloroflexota; Anaerolineae; Anaerolineales; Anaerolineaceae.